RNAcentral lists this long non-coding RNA (1328 nucleotides) under Olea europaea (common olive). Its description in RNAcentral is "long non-coding RNA (OEUR_LNC004618)". Lineage: Eukaryota; Viridiplantae; Streptophyta; Magnoliopsida; Lamiales; Oleaceae. The record is from RNAcentral.
CGUCAAUGAAGAUCUGUGGAGCAUAUCCAAUAUCAAUGUGUUCUUGGACAAAUCUUUGAGGUUGAAUCUGAUAGUUUUGAGGGUAGUAAUGAUAGAAUUCAUUCUUUUUCAAGUCUAAUUUAGUGUCAUCCUCGGGUUUAGCCGGUGGUUCUUCGCCGCCACCUCCUUCCUUGUUUUCUUUCGCCUCUUCACCACCUUUCUUGGCUUCCUUUUUCUCACCCCCGGUCUUCUUCUCGUCUUUACAGUCUUUUUCUUUCUCUUUUUCAUCCUCUUUUUUAUCCGGCUCUACCUUCACGAUUACUGCGUGCUUUCCCGUUCUCUUGUAUACAUAAUCAACGAGAUCUUCAGGCUCAAACAUGCCUUUCACUGUCACUUGUGAACUCUUUAGAUCUGGCUCUGCACUUUCCGCUCCUACAAAUCAAAACUUGACCAUGUUAACACAUUAUAAGCAUGUUUAGCUAACUUAUUGUCAUCAAAAGAAGAAAAAGAAAAAGAGUGAGUUCAAUUUCUUUCUUAUAUACUUAUAAAACAUGCUAUAAGCCCGUUAACAAUACAUUUGGGGUCGACUAUACGCUUCUGCGAGACAAUUGCAUGUUUAUGAAUGAUCCAUCUAUGCCAAAAACUUCACAAAGAUUCUUGAGGGAUUAAUCUUGAUUAAAAUACUUAUGUUGAAGUGACGCAGAAUCUUAAGAAUUGAAUAUUAUAGAUGAAAAUAAAGAGAAGAAUUGAAUACAAUUAUUUUUGCACAUACAGCAGAAAAGGGCUAUAAAGGCAAAAAAAUAAUAACUACUGUAUGAAUCUUCAAAAAAUUAAAAUAAAGAACUUUUUUAUCGGUUGAGGUUUAAAAUAAAUUUAAGGAAACAAUGAAGUUACCUUUCAUUCUCUGUAUUCUCUUCCUGAUUGCUUGAGCACAAGCCUCACAAUGCAUGUAAACAUGCAAGAUUACUGUAAUCACCGGAGGCUAAAAAGGUAAAAAAAAAAUAAAAAAAAUUACAGUUAUUUUCUAACAAUAAAAUAAUUCUUUUACAAAAUUUUAAAAAAUACAAACCUCCGGUUUUUUCUCUUCGGCUUUAGCCAUCUCUUUUUCUUCCGGUUUCUUAGGUUCUUCCGCCACCGGUUUUGGGAUUGGAGAGAGAAGCUCCACCUGCCGGUGGCUCUUCCUUUGAACCCUUUCCAAAACCUUAAUUGGAUCUGCCUUCUCACCUUUCACAAUCACCUUACUCGUCUUGCAAUCUGUUAUUACAUCCUCUACCCCUGCAACAUAAAUUUAGAAUCGACUAUAUAUAUAAAUCCUUUUCUUUGUCCUUCUAUUCGUUCAUAUACCUCCA